GGGGAAUAUUGGGCAAUGGGCGAAAGCCUGACCCAGCAACGCCGCGUGAGGGAAGAAGGCCUUCGGGUUGUAAACCUCUGUCCUUGGUGACGAAAAAAAUGACGGUAGCCAAGGAGGAAGCCCCGGCUAACUACGUGCCAGCAGCCGCGGUAAUACGUAGGGGGCGAGCGUUGUCCGGAAUUACUGGGCGUAAAGGGUGCGUAGGUGGCCUUUUAAGUUGGAUGUGAAAUACCCGGGCUUAACUUGGGGGGUGCAUCUAAUACUGGAGGGCUAGAGUGCAGGAGAGGGAAGCGGAAUUCCUAGUGUAGCGGUGAAAUGCUUAGAUAUCACGAAGAACUCCAAUUGCGAAGGCAGCUCACUGGAGUGUAACUGACGCUGAUGCUCGAAAGUGUGGGUAUCAAACA
RNAcentral lists this ribosomal RNA (404 nucleotides) under uncultured bacterium. Its description in RNAcentral is "bacterial SSU rRNA". It matches the Rfam family "Bacterial small subunit ribosomal RNA", at positions 356 to 774 of the family's 1533-position model. The record is from RNAcentral.